This 1423-nucleotide ribosomal RNA is filed under the name Escherichia coli. RNAcentral's name for it is "partial 23S ribosomal RNA". It matches the Rfam family "Bacterial large subunit ribosomal RNA", at positions 165 to 1632 of the family's 2925-position model. Lineage: Bacteria; Pseudomonadati; Pseudomonadota; Gammaproteobacteria; Enterobacterales; Enterobacteriaceae. The record is from RNAcentral.
CAUAGGUUAAUGAGGCGAACCGGGGGAACUGAAACAUCUAAGUACCCCGAGGAAAAGAAAUCAACCGAGAUUCCCCCAGUAGCGGCGAGCGAACGGGGAGCAGCCCAGAGCCUGAAUCAGUGUGUGUGUUAGUGGAAGCGUCUGGAAAGGCGCGCGAUACAGGGUGACAGCCCCGUACACAAAAAUGCACAUACUGUGAGCUCGAUGAGUAGGGCGGGACACGUGGUAUCCUGUCUGAAUAUGGGGGGACCAUCCUCCAAGGCUAAAUACUCCUGACUGACCGAUAGUGAACCAGUACCGUGAGGGAAAGGCGAAAAGAACCCCGGCGAGGGGAGUGAAAAAGAACCUGAAACCGUGUACGUACAAGCAGUGGGAGCCUCUUUAUGGGGUGACUGCGUACCUUUUGUAUAAUGGGUCAGCGACUUAUAUUCUGUAGCAAGGUUAACCGAAUAGGGGAGCCGAAGGGAAACCGAGUCUUAACUGGGCGUUAAGUUGCAGGGUAUAGACCCGAAACCCGGUGAUCUAGCCAUGGGCAGGUUGAAGGUUGGGUAACACUAACUGGAGGACCGAACCGACUAAUGUUGAAAAAUUAGCGGAUGACUUGUGGCUGGGGGUGAAAGGCCAAUCAAACCGGGAGAUAGCUGGUUCUCCCCGAAAGCUAUUUAGGUAGCGCCUCGUGAAUUCAUCUCCGGGGGUAGAGCACUGUUUCGGCAAGGGGGUCAUCCCGACUUACCAACCCGAUGCAAACUGCGAAUACCGGAGAAUGUUAUCACGGGAGACACACGGCGGGUGCUAACGUCCGUCGUGAAGAGGGAAACAACCCAGACCGCCAGCUAAGGUCCCAAAGUCAUGGUUAAGUGGGAAACGAUGUGGGAAGGCCCAGACAGCCAGGAUGUUGGCUUAGAAGCAGCCAUCAUUUAAAGAAAGCGUAAUAGCUCACUGGUCGAGUCGGCCUGCGCGGAAGAUGUAACGGGGCUAAACCAUGCACCGAAGCUGCGGCAGCGACACUAUGUGUUGUUGGGUAGGGGAGCGUUCUGUAAGCCUGUGAAGGUGUGCUGUGAGGUAUGCUGGAGGUAUCAGAAGUGCGAAUGCUGACAUAAGUAACGAUAAAGCGGGUGAAAAGCCCGCUCGCCGGAAGACCAAGGGUUCCUGUCCAACGUUAAUCGGGGCAGGGUGAGUCGACCCCUAAGGCGAGGCCGAAAGGCGUAGUCGAUGGGAAACAGGUUAAUAUUCCUGUACUUGGUGUUACUGCGAAGGGGGGACGGAGAAGGCUAUGUUGGCCGGGCGACGGUUGUCCCGGUUUAAGCGUGUAGGCUGGUUUUCCAGGCAAAUCCGGAAAAUCAAGGCUGAGGCGUGAUGACGAGGCACUACGGUGCUGAAGUAACAAAUGCCCUGCUUCCAGGAAAAGCCUCUAAGCAUCAGG